Molecule: ribosomal RNA, 465 nt
Filed under: uncultured bacterium
Lineage: Bacteria
Description: partial 16S ribosomal RNA
Rfam family: Bacterial small subunit ribosomal RNA
Source: RNAcentral
CCUACGGGUGGCAGCAGUGGGGAAUAUUGCGCAAUGGGCGAAAGCCUGAUGCAGCGACGCCGCGUGAGGGAUGCAGGUCUUCGGAUCGUAAACCUCUGUCAGCAGGGAAGAACGGUCACUUUGCUAAUCAGCAGUGCAUUGACGGUACCUGCAAAGGAAGCACCGGCUAACUCCGUGCCCGCAGCCGCGGUAAUACGGAGGGUGCGAGCGUUACUCGGAAUUACGGGGCGUAAAGCGCUCGUAAGCGGUAUGUCAAGUCAAGGGUGAAAGCCCCGCGCUCAACGUGGGAACUGCCUUUGAAACUGGCAAACUGGAGUGUGUGAGAGGAUGGUGGAAUUCCAGGUGUAGGAGUGAAAUCCGUAGAUAUCUGGAGGAACAUCAGUGGCGAAGGCGACUAUCUGGCACAUAACUGACGCUGAGGAGCGAAAGCGUGGGUAGCAAACAGGAUUAGAUACCCUAGUAGUC